AACAGUGACCAUUUUUACUUGUUCGGAAAAGUAAAAUGCAAGUGUGUGGGAAGCGAAAGGAAUGGGGGGGGGCAGUAGGAGGGUUGGGGGAGGACGUCCUUUAGAGUGGGACUCAUCUGAAGCAUCAGGGAUCUAGCUGGAGGCUCUCUUCUCCACCCCCACCCCCUACCCCGGAGUUCCUUCCCCGAGAUUACAAUUCUGAUUCAUCUCCACUUGAUCCACCAUGCCAUAGAAACCUGUUCACCCUGGAAACUUGUUUUACCUGAGGACUAAUUCUAACACUGGAAACACCUGAUGACUCUUGGCCUCUCCCUCAGACUGUACAAAGCCUGGAUAAGAGAGGAGUACAUAUUUCAUUCCAAGUGCGAUGGAUGUAGAGAUCAGUGUGGCGUGGUCUUCAUUCCAGAGGAAAGGUCACAGUUUCAGGCCAGCUGGAGAUGGAAGACAGAACAUAUCCUGAGUUGCAGCCAACCGGAGAUUUGAAAUUAGAAUCUGGGCUCAACCUGCAUCUGGGUUUUUAGAAAUCUGAUUGUAAGAGGAUAGGGUUGUCAAAUGGUUGGAAGGAAUACUCCGGUUUCUAGAGACCCAAAGUGACACAGGCUGGAUUUUGCCAAGAAAAGUGAUUAGCAUGUUUAUCUCAUCAUUUGAGUCAUCAUAUUCCCAGGAGAAUGAAGAAACUUUUGGGAAGCAAGUGGGUGGAGUUAGCAGAGGAUUGAUAGGAUGAUUGAAAUGGAGGAAGAUGGGACUUCUUUUGAGUGGUCCAGGUGGAUGGACACUCUGGCCAAUCUGGCUACAGAAUCAAAGGCACUCUAAUAGAGACAGGCUGUCUUAGAAACUUGCCAGUUUUCCCUUUGGUUAAGUGGAUGACUCUCUCCUUCAAGAACUAUGGCCUGGGAUCCAGCCCUAUGGCUUAUUUUGGAACGCAUAGUUGGGGAUCAUUUUUAUUGGGAAAUGUGGCUUGGAGUGUGGGAUUGUUAAGAAUUCUGUCUAUCUUUGAAGAUAAAUGUUUGCUGGCAUUCAGAGAUCCUCUCUGGGCUCUUGAAUACACAACAGCUGCCUCUUCUCACUGUGAUUAGAAGAGGUAAAAACAAUUGAUGUUCAGGAAUGCACAGCUAACUCAAGAAUCUUAGGAAGAGGAGUCUUUCUCAAGGAUUGUUUUGGGAGAAAGAACUUAAAGAGCAGAGAGAAUACCUUUGCUUCAAAUGACCUCAAGGUCAUGGGUUUUGUAGUAUAUAGAAAGCCAAGGAGUCAGGGGAUGUGGUCUGUAAGUCCAGCUUUGGCAUUAAUCACACUGUGCCCUUGGGUCUGUUGUUUAACCCCUCUGUGUCCCAGCUUUGGUCUCUGCCCCCUAAAAUGGAGGUUACAAUAUAAUUUCUCUCUCUCACACAGGAUUGUUGUGAAAAUCAAUUAAGAUCAUGGAUAUUAAAGUUCUUUCCUUUUAAAAACAUCUGAUUUUAAUGAACAUAAAAGAAAGGUUAUAUGAAAGAAGUUUUCACAGAGAUAAAGCACUCUAUAUAUAGAAAGUAUGUAUAAAAAAUUUUUUUAGAGUGGAAGGAGAGAAUAUUAAUCCUAUAAUGGAGUGCCACACAUGAAUAGCACUUAAGGAAAUAGGUUCCCACAUAGCCCCUCCUAAUAAAUGUUUGAAUUGUCAAUUGCAUUUAAUAUUAUUUAUUAAGGGUCUACUAUGAAUCUAGUACUUUGUUCAUGUGCUAAGAUGAGAAACACAAGAGACAAAAUUAAUUCCUGCCUUUGAAUAGCUUACAUUCUACUGAUGAGUGACUGGACAUGAAUAAAUGAAUCAAGGAAUCAAAAAGCAUUUAUAAAGCAAUUAUUAAAUGCCAAGCACUGUACCUAUACAUACAAAGAUACAUGUAGAUAGAUUAGUAAACAAAAAAUAUAUAAAAGUAAUCCAAAGUAAUUUGAAGAGGGAGAGAGUAGAAACAUCUCUUUCCCUUCAGCAGUUUACAUUCUAUAGGAAGAUGUUACAAUCUGCAUAGGAACAAAUGGACACAAAGUAGAGUGGGGGAAUUUGGAAAGUGUCAAAACUGAACCUAGUAUAUGCUAAGUAUGUUUUCCAAGUAAACUGGCGGCUUACCAAACAUCCCCGGAAACCAUAUGCUUCUCAAGACUCUUAAUUAUAUUUAUUUGGGAGUGAUAGAGAAAAUAAAACCACUAACAGCAUCUAAAGUGCAGGCAAAAGCCCAACCAGGGAUAAAGCUAGUGUUUGAUUCCUAAGCAAUAACUCAGUAGUAACCACAAUCCCACGAGAAUGAGAUUUUGCCAAGAACCUCAACUUCAGGGUGGUGUCUUUCCACAAAUGCACCACAAAACAGUGUCCUAAAACAUUAGGAUGGGAGGAUCCAGGAUGAAAAAAAAAAUUAUGGGAUAAAAAAAUGGAAAUCUAAAAUGUCUGUGUACAUAAUAUUUGAAAAGUUCAAUUUGACCAGAACUAUUAGGAAAAAUUUAUGAUCCCUUUAGCCAACAAAAAUAUAUGAGGGAACAUAUUUUAUAUAUGUUUUGAUAUAAAAUACCUGCUGAUUUCUUUUUAUAGCUUCAAGCCAGAAUUGACUGAUUCUGAAUUUUCUUCUGCCUGCCACACCCCAUUAUCCACAACCCACAUGGCUUUCUCCAAAUUUCUAGAAAUAUGAGUUUGUCAAGUCCAACUCGAGGCCACAAUGGGAAUCAUGAAUCAGUAAAGCUGACCCAAAGUUGUUUGCUUCCUGCCAACUCCCAGAUAAUGUUGGGCAUGAUUAGAAAGGAUAAUUUUGUGAUAAAAAUGGUGACUAUUGGCUUUCAGGGGAACCCUAGGUAAAUGACUGAGAGUCAUAGAAUCACAGACUCAGAGUUGGAAGGGGCAACAAUCAUCUAAAAUGCUUUGAAUACUGUUGCUACUAGAAUGAUCCAAAUCUCUCUUAGGAAGAAAGGAAUCAUUUCUCAGAAAUUGUAUAAUGUAGUCACCUUACAUUUAGGGAUGCUCAGGACUGACAGUUUUCACAACUAUUCUUUCUCAACACUUUGUCUAAAAAAUGUUAAUAUUACUCCUCAAAUCAAAUUUUAGGGUGACAGAACCAACAAAAGGUCAGAGUGAAAUAUUUUUUCAGCCUAAGACAACUAAGAAUUUUUUUCCAUUUCACUUAUGUAUUUAGUUCUCAAUAGUCCUAGAGCCAAACAUUUGAAUAUAGGAAAUUUGGGAGGAAUGGAUAAGAAGGAGAGAAUAGAGGAUCAGCCUUUAUUUGGAGAAAGUAUUUGGGGACAAUUUUGAGAAGAUGGGGUAUGAUUUUUUAUUUUAUUUUAAAAAGUAGUCCACAAUUUGGUCUAAAACCAUCAUUGGAGAUUUAUUCUUCAGUCUGCAUAGUCUGUAUCAUGUGUUGUUAUUCCAAAUGCAUUUCCAAAAUAUGUAAUAUCCCAUUUGACAGUUACUUCAUCUGUGUACUUCAUACCACCUGAGUCUAGGGCAGAGGUUCUCAACCUGUGGGUCACGACCCCAGUGGGGGUCAAAUGACCAAAACACAGGGGUCGCCUAAAGCCAUCAGAAAAUGCAUAUUUCCGAUGGCUUUAGCCUCUGAGAAAUCACGCUACUUUACAGCAAGAUCUCAGAAAGAACAGGGACCCUGCUGCCCGCACAUUGUACUAAUAUUAGUUACCUAUCAGCAGCCCUCCCCCUAUGAGGGGCGAUGGAUUUACCCUGUUGCCUGGAGACCAGACUCAAACAGAGACCCAGAGAGAGCACCCUGGCGCUGGCUCCCGAGGGGUUAAGAACGAGUCCUGGAGCGGAUAACUCCUGGAGCGGAUAACGGAGUCGAGUAACCCCAGCAAAGUGAAGCCUCAGCUCGAGCUGGAGGGAGACGACAGGAAGAAGAAGGCAGAAUCUGCUGACUCCCUCCCCAGGCAGGACUUACCUCCCACCCCAGCGCUCAGGCUGCCUCCUGCUGGAUUAAUAUUUCUCAACAUAUAAUUAAAUAUUGUUUUUGUGAU
Long non-coding RNA from Monodelphis domestica (gray short-tailed opossum), 3975 nucleotides. RefSeq lists it as uncharacterized. The record is from RefSeq and is a predicted model, not a curated record. Lineage: Eukaryota; Metazoa; Chordata; Mammalia; Didelphimorphia; Didelphidae.